This 255-nucleotide long non-coding RNA is filed under the name Arachis ipaensis. Its description in RNAcentral is "long non-coding RNA (AIPA_LNC001247)". The record is from RNAcentral. Lineage: Eukaryota; Viridiplantae; Streptophyta; Magnoliopsida; Fabales; Fabaceae.
AAGAAUGGAAGGAACACAAGAGACUAAGGAGAUGACCAGCGAGCAAUGACGCGAGCGCAUGGCCCACGCGAACGCGCGAAGUGAAGAAUUCGCAGCGAUGCGGACGCGUGCCUGACGUAAACGCGUGGAUUGGAGUCUGCACGCAUGACGCGAACGCGUGAAUGACGCGAACGCGUGACAAGGAAAAACGAUGAAUGACGCGAACGCGUGGACGACGCGUACGCGUGACCUGCGCGAUUUGCAAAAAUAAUAGAA